This 603-nucleotide ribosomal RNA is filed under the name uncultured fungus. RNAcentral describes it as "eukaryotic LSU rRNA". It matches the Rfam family "Eukaryotic large subunit ribosomal RNA", at positions 37 to 654 of the family's 3401-position model. The record is from RNAcentral. Lineage: Eukaryota; Fungi.
AGCAUAUCAAUAAGCGGAGGAAAAGAAACCAACAGGGAUUACCUCAGUAACGGCGAGUGAAGCGGUAACAGCUCAAAUUUGAAAGCUAGCUCUUUUAGGGUUCGCAUUGUAAUUUGUAGAAGAUGCUUCGGGUGUGGCCCCGGUCUAAGUUCCUUGGAACAGGACGUCAUAGAGGGUGAGAAUCCCGUAUGUGACUGGGUGCUUUCGCUCAUGUGAAGCUCUUUCGACGAGUCGAGUUGUUUGGGAAUGCAGCUCAAAGUGGGUGGUAAAUUUCAUCUAAAGCUAAAUAUUGGCCAGAGACCGAUAGCGCACAAGUAGAGUGAUCGAAAGAUGAAAAGCACUUUGGAAAGAGAGUUAAACAGUACGUGAAAUUGUUGAAAGGGAAGCGCUUGCAACCAGACUUGCGCGCUGAUGAUCAUCCGGGCUUCUGCCCGGUGCACUCGUCUGCGCUCAGGCCAGCAUCGGUUUCGGUGGUGGGAUAAAGGCCUUGGGAAUGUAGCUCCUCUCGGGGAGUGUUAUAGCCCUCGGUGCAAUGCCGCCUACCGGGACCGAGGACCGCGCUUCGGCUAGGAUGCUGGCGUAAUGGUCGUAAGCGACCCGUCU